This 497-nucleotide ribosomal RNA is filed under the name uncultured bacterium. RNAcentral's name for it is "partial 16S ribosomal RNA". It matches the Rfam family "Bacterial small subunit ribosomal RNA", at positions 28 to 507 of the family's 1533-position model. The record is from RNAcentral.
GACGAACGCUGGCGGCGUGCCUAAUACAUGCAAGUUGAGCGCUGAAGGUUGGUACUUGUACCAACUGGAUGAGCAGCGAACGGGUGAGUAACGCGUGGGGAAUCUGCCUUUGAGCGGGGGACAACAUUUGGAAACGAAUGCUAAUACCGCAUAAAAACUUUAAACACAAGUUUUAAGAUUGAAAGAUGCAAUUGCAUCACUCAAAGAUGAUCCCGCGUUGUAUUAGCUAGUUGGUGAGGUAAAGGCUCACCAAGGCGAUGAUACAUAGCCGACCUGAGAGGGUGAUCGGCCACAUUGGGACGGAGACACGGCCCAAUCUACUAGGUGAGGCAGCAGUAGGGAUUCUUCUGCAAUGGAUGAAAGUCUGACCGAGCAACGCCGCGUGAGUUAAGAAGAUUUUCGGAUCGUAAAACUCUGUUGGUAGAGAAGAACGUUGGUGAGAGUGGAAAGCUCAUCAAGUGACGGUAACUACCCAGAAAGGGACGGCUAACUACGUG